Non-coding RNA from Python bivittatus (Burmese python), 852 nucleotides. NCBI's taxonomy places the organism in Eukaryota, Metazoa, Chordata, Lepidosauria, Squamata, Pythonidae. The record is from RefSeq and is a predicted model, not a curated record.
UGAGCAGGCAGCUUAAGUGUCACCGCUAUAACCGAGCCCAGUGCAGCACCCGUCGCCAUGGUGUGAAGAGGGGGGCCCAGGAGAUGACAUCAACGGAGGAGAUUCGUUCGGCUUUCAAGUUGGGGUUGGAAAGGUGUAACAGGACUUCUUCCAACCCAGUGUAAAGUAGAAAUUUUAUAUGAAUGAGAGCCUUGUAUUGAGAUGAGAAAAUGAACAAGAUUGAAUAUUCUGCUCCUCACCUGUUGGCUCAUCUUCUGCUUCUGAUCCACCAAGAGUUCCAGUUGCUUUUCCAUGUGCAGUUGUCUUCCUGCCCCCAUACUCAUGUUUUUGAUUUUUCUUACCUAAAUGUAAAACUUUACAUCUAUCUCAGAUGAAAUUCAUCUUGCUGAAUUUUGUACAAUCUUUCACCUUGUCAACAUAGGAUACUGUCCUCUAGUGUGACUGUAAUCCCUCCAUCUUGUGUCAUCUGCAAAUUUGUCAAUCAUAUUUUCAAACUUCUCAUUCAAAUCAUAUAUAAAUAUGUUAAGCAUUUCAGGCCCUAGAAUGGAUCCCUGUGAUAUAUCAUCCAAUAGUUCUUGCAUUAAUGUAUGUAUACUUGGGGAAUACAGUUGUUCAAUCAGCUCUGUAUUCAUCUAAUAUUAGCAUUGUCCAGCCCACAAUUUUAAUCUUUUCUACUAAAAUCUCAUGGAAGACAUUGAAUGCUUUGCUAAAGUUCAGACAUGCCAUAUCUACUGUAUUCCUAUAGUCAGCUAAACUGGUCACUUAUCACAAAAGAUAUUUCUGUGGGUUUUUGAUGAUUUAUCCUCGAUAAAUACAUUCUGGCUCCCACCAAGUAAUGCAUUAUUUUCUAAC